This 551-nucleotide ribosomal RNA is filed under the name uncultured bacterium. RNAcentral describes it as "bacterial SSU rRNA". It matches the Rfam family "Bacterial small subunit ribosomal RNA", at positions 356 to 896 of the family's 1533-position model. The record is from RNAcentral.
UGGGGACAUUGCGCAAUGGGGGGAACCCUGACGCAGCCAUGCCGCGUGAAUGAAGAAGGCCUUCGGGUUGUAAAGUUCUUUCGGUAUUGAGGAAGGUUGAUGUGUUAAUAGCACAUCAAAUUGACGUUAAAUACAGAAGAAGCCNNNCNNNNNAANCUCCGUGCCAGCAGCCGCGGUAAUACGGAGGGUGCGAGCGUUAAUCGGAAUAACUGGGCGUAAAGGGCACGUAGGCGGUUAUUUAAGUGAGGUGUGAAAGCCCCGGGCUUAACCUGGGAAUUGCAUUUCAGACUGGGUAACUAGAGUACUUUAGGGAGGGGUAGAAUUCCACGUGUACCGGGUGAAAUGCGUAGAGAUGUGGAGGAAUACCGAAGGCGAAGGCAGCCCCUUGGGAAUGUACUGACGCUCAUGUGCGAAAGCGUGGGGAGCAAACAGGAUUAGAUACCCUGGUAGUCCACGCUGUAAACGCUGUCGAUUUGGGGGUUGGGGUUUAACUCUGGCGCCCGUAGCUAACGUGAUAAAUCGACCGCCUGGGGAGUACGGCCGCAAGGUUA